UAGGAACUAAGAAGCCAACCUCAAGGAAUC
This 30-nucleotide non-coding RNA is filed under the name Mus musculus (house mouse). The record is from RNAcentral. Lineage: Eukaryota; Metazoa; Chordata; Mammalia; Rodentia; Muridae.